UAACCACGCUCAGAGCACUCCUGAGAUAGU
This 30-nucleotide non-coding RNA is filed under the name Homo sapiens (human). Lineage: Eukaryota; Metazoa; Chordata; Mammalia; Primates; Hominidae. The record is from RNAcentral.